Populus trichocarpa (black cottonwood) is the source of this 997-nucleotide long non-coding RNA. RefSeq lists it as uncharacterized. The transcript is spliced from 2 exons. Lineage: Eukaryota; Viridiplantae; Streptophyta; Magnoliopsida; Malpighiales; Salicaceae. The record is from RefSeq and is a predicted model, not a curated record.
GGAGCUGCUUGGCGCGCACGAAGGGUCUUUUCUUAAUAAAAAAGCAUCCCUCCAUGUCUAUUCAAAGCUAUAAAAUAAUGUCACUUGAUCCCCCUCGAAGAGCCAUGUCGACAAUUCCACAUAUCUCCAAAUGGGCAAAAGGAAAGCAAAAGGUGCGAUGGAUACAUAUAUUAUAUGUCGGUACGUAGUGCCUGACAUAUGUGCCUGGAUAAGCAUGUGGAAGUUACUAGGAAGUUGUCGGCCAGCCUAGCUAGCUAGCUAGAUACAUUUGCACUGGAUCAUCCCUUCUUCGGGGAAGGAUUUAUCUGAGACAUUCGAUAUAUAAUGCUAAACGUUUUCAUGGCUAUUGGGCCUAGCUCUAUGAUCAACAGCACUUGGAUCUAUCUAUAAUUCCUUUCCAAAGUGGCAUGACUUUAUUUCAACAUCUUUAAUUAUUCGUGCACUUUACUCUGCCGCGACAUUCUACUGGCUAAACUAGCCGAGACUUGUAUAUUUUACAGACAUCAUUGAUCCACUUUUGCAUGUUCCUGUCCAAUUUCUUUACACUCAUGAUGCUGCUGUCUUUGAUCACAUUACAUCCCAGUUGAUGGAACUACACUGUUCAUGAUGUAUUCAUCACUACGCCGUUUCUUUUCCUCUUGCCAAAUUAAAAGGCGUGAAUGCUGCUUGAAAACAUCACAAUCAAGAGAGGUAGCUAGCAGCUAGUUGUUCUUAGGCGAAAGGAUGGGAGAGGUCCAAGUGAAACGAACAUGGUGUCACUGUUCUAAGCACCUCCUUCUUCGAAGGUUCUUCAUGAUCUUAUGCAAGCAGCCAAUCUUGACUCGACUUGUCGAUUUGUCUUCCGAGGGAUCCAGGAUGUGCUUUGGGCAUUAAAGUAGUGUUCCGGAAACUUGUGAGCUCUAUGACAUCAGUGCUUCUCUCAGAAUUUGAGGUCACGCGUGGCUGUAGUUUUUUUUAUUUAUAACUAGCGGAAAGAUAAUCAAAAAAUUGUUAAGUA